This is a long non-coding RNA of Vidua chalybeata, 5420 nucleotides long. RefSeq lists it as uncharacterized. Lineage: Eukaryota; Metazoa; Chordata; Aves; Passeriformes; Viduidae. The transcript is spliced from 3 exons. The record is from RefSeq and is a predicted model, not a curated record.
UUAAACACCAUUAGAAGAUCUGUGUCCCACUCAUCAUAUCUACCCUACCUUUAGGCAGAUUACUCUGGGUAUUUCUUGUUCCCCUUCUCACCUCUGUUUUCCACCCUAAGCCAGUGUAGCUUAACUACUUAUUCCAUGGCUUUUUAGGGCUGGUGCAUCACAAUGCAUAGCUGGGGGGGCUUCAAACAUGGACAGACAGUUGUUUCUCACGGUAAAUUUUUGUUUGGAUGAUUGGCCCUCAAUGUGAAUGCGAUACACAGCCACUACAUGGAGUAGGUGCCACUCUGACUGUAUCACACACCUAAUGGAGGGGGCACAAACUCCCUUGUGCCAGCAAAGGCCAGCUCUGUCACUGCAGUGCAAUGACUUUCUUUUCCUGUGUCUCCCUCCUCGCUGCCUGUGCUCCCUGCUUGACUCUCCUGCUUCACAUGUCAACCAGCUGCAUGCGACUGGCUUCACUCUAUCUGUCUCCAUGGUUCAGGAGAGGGUCCUCACCCUUGUCCCCCACACUGCUGAGUAGGGAGGGUGCUGCAGCCCUGGAGCAGCCCAUCUCCCAAACACCUGCACUGCUGUUCCAGAGCCAGGGAUGAGCUGCAGGUCCUGCAGCACUCUAACUGCCCUGUCCAAGAUGUUCAUCAGCAUAGCCCAGCUGCUUGCCAGACCUGCAGUAGAUGUCUUUGCCUGUUUAGAUGGUGACACUCUGCAGGGUGUGAAGAAGCCCCUCUUUCUUGAGGGUCCUGCAGCAGAUAGGACAGGCUUUACUAGAAGCAAAGCUGAAGGAAAAGAUCCCAGGCGGACACAAUCACCUGGCUGAGCAGUUUUUGCAUCAUUGUCAAAUCCAGACAGUCAAACAGCAGCAGAUAGACUCUCAAAAUCAUAAGGCUGGCACAUCCUUGGGAUUUUAUUUAAAGUCCAAGUGCCCUUCUUUUUGUUCCUGUGCAUGUUCAGAAGAGGUUUUCAAGGUUUUUACUGCAGCCAGCAGCCAAGAUUUUGCUGUUAAAUUCAGAUUGCAUUUAAACCGUACUUCUUUGAUGAGGUAAUUCUCCAAAGUUAAAAGCCAAGCUCCCUGUUUAGGUGAUCAAGAAAGGAGCUGGGGCUUCUGAAUGCUGCUGCAGUUGGUCCCAUAAAAAAAACUACCCCUCUCCAAAAUCUUGUUUUUCUUCAUGUGAGGCACUAAAGAAAGACACACAAGAACUCCAAAUGGGAGUCUAACUCCUUCUCUGCACUGACUAUAUGGAAAACCCAGGUGCUGCCUUUAGAGAAAAUGGGUUUUUUUAAUGUUCAUCUGCUGGAAUUAGGCUAGUAAGAAAAUACUUGAAGAUUCAGCAUAAACCUGCAGAGUAAAAGAAACUAGUAGAUUCAGCAGCUGCAGAUAAUUGCUAAAGACUUUAAUAGCCAGAAAAUGUAAACUACAUUCCAUGUUUACUUAUAAUUUGUGUCAGAAUUAUGUGACAGAAGUGCAGUGUACAAGACACCUAAAUAUGAUAUAAAAUUAAAAACUAAAUCUGAAUAAUGAAAAAAAAAAAACCUGUAAAAACCAUGUAUUUGAAAUGAGAGAAGAAAUGUGUUUCUUAGGCCUUCUUUGCUUGAGCAUAAAUUGACUGGGACCCAAAAAACUUUCUCCUUGGACACAUGGUCAUUUUAUGAUGGAAAAUUGUUUUGUUAAAUAAGACGACCAAGUGUAAUUUGUACCAAUAAAUAAAAAAUUCUACAGCUAUUAUGAGCCAUAAACAGAAAAGACUCAUUAAAUACAAAAUAGCUUCAAUAAAAGGAACACUGAAGCAACUGCACUGAUCUCCACCAAGAUCUCCUUUUCCCCCUCAGAAUUCCUGCAAGACAGAUGUGGAGUGGAUGCAUUCAGACAAUCAGGAAAAUUAUUAAGAUGGUCCUUAACCAAAUCCAAGGAGAACUAUCACCUAGCUCAUUCACUAUGGACAAAAUAAUGUGUUUAUCAUAAGCCCAUUUGAGUGUAAAGAAUUGUGCAAGUUCUCCAAAGGAGGAGUCCCUUUCCAAUUCAUCCUCUAAGAGAUCAAAAGCACCUUCAGCAACCAAUGAAACAAGUAAGCAGCUAUUCAAAACAAAUGAGUCAGCCUCAAACACUGAUCAUAGGGGGCAAAAAAAAAAAAAAAAUCAGGCAUUGUUUUUUAUGCACUUGUCCCCCUCUUCCUACCCACAGCUGCUCCAAACUCACAUGUUCGGCUGCAAAUCUGUAAUUGUACACUUUUGUUGAUAAGUCAUGUUUGUCUGGAGUUGAGUUUUGAGGAAGUUCUUUGUCAAUCAGCGUUAUUAAUGACAUAGUUGUAAAUCUCACUGUCAUAGUAUUGACUGAGUAAAUAAGUACUUUAUGACCUAAAGGAAUAUUUUCCCAGUGAGGAAACUGGUUUGAAAAAAAUUGCCUAAUCUUUUUUCCAUUAUACCUCAAAGUCAUGCAUGCAGCUGGGCACCCAUUCAAAGAUGAACUCAGACUGUCUGUAUCUCACAGGAUCAAUAAGGUGCAGAUUUUCUAGAUGUAUCGCUUAGCCUGAAGUCCAACAAAUUGUUAAAAAUGGAUAUGUUUUUUGAUUGGAGUGGAAAUAAAACUUUGUAUUCUUCCUAGAAUCCCUCUCUUUAUAAUUUUUAUUUUGCACAUCUGUGCUUCCAAGUAAUUCUAGGGCUUGCUUGGAAAGAGACCAGAUUCAGCCAUUAAUUUCCCCUUUGUAAAUCAGUAUUAUCAGUAACCUGACUCAGUUUCCUUUUCGGUAGAGUCACCCUCCACAGCACUGCUGGUGUGACAAUUUGCUCAUUUAAAGGCAGCUAGAAGCCAAGCUCAUGUGAAGGUGUCCCUGUCCCUGUCUAGACAGCAGCUGUGGCCCAACGGGCAGAGGCAGCAGGGGGAAUUUGCACUGGCAGCCAGGUCCAGCGUACAGCAGCUUCUCCCUGAGUCUCAGAGCCAGGCUGUUCCUCGGCACAGUCAGGUCAGGAUCCAGCAGGCGGGAGCCUUUGCUCUCCGCCCCGGUGAGAUGAUUCCCCUUUCCGCGCUGCUGCGGUGUCUCCGAGGCCUCUGCGAGCUCCCCCUGGAGCCCCGGCCGCUGCUCCGUGCCCGGUGCGGGGCCUGUCCCUCGCAACCUCCGCACGCCAAGGGCCGGGGCCGCGUGUGGAGCGGAGCCGCACUGACAGCACAGAGGCACCGCCGUGCUGACACUGGCUGGGCCCUCGGAGAAGCUUUUUGGUGGAAGCCAGGUCGCUGGUUUAAAGCUGUGGAGUCUUAAACAAUUCCUGAUCUAGUCCCUGACUGAGCUGAGAGCAGCGGAGCUGUUCAGUCUGCGCUUGUCAGCACAGAGCAGAGGAAAGCUGCCUCUGGGGCGAUGCCUGCACGGAAUCCUCAGCUGAGUGGCUCUCCCGGGCUCUCCUGCAUCACUUCUUCCUCACCAACAAGCCCCACAAGCUGGAAUGCUCCUGGCAUCUUCGCAUCCCUGUGCCAUCGUGGCUGCUCAAGGGAGUGAGCAGAGUGCACCCACCUUUGCUCCUGGAGGCACCAGGCCUGCAACACGUAAUGGAGGUGUCCGGCUGUGGGAGGAUGGAUUGUGAGAGAAUAGAGAUAGUGCUGAAGGCAAUCUCGCCCCUGAGGACUUGCAGCUGUACUAAUUACCAAAGAGUAGGAACAGCCUUGCCUUUAAUAGGUCACAGCUGUGUCCAAUAUGGACAGUCCAAUAAGGAUGGGUGUUAGAAAAGAGUGGGUUAGCUGCUUGAGAAGAGGGUUGGAGUCAGUUGGCUGUGCUGCUGUGGGGAGCAAGGGUCAGGCAGUUGGGCUAGGGACAGAAAGGGUUAGGUGUUCAUGAUAGGAACAGGUAGAAGUCAGACAGCCAUGUGGAAGAAAGAGAAAAGGAGUCAGAGUUGCGAGGAGCUGCCUGUGAGAACUCACAGAGAGAAGUACAUGUGAGAGCAUGCUUUUCCUGCCUCAGGAAGACAGCUGGACCCACAAGAUACAGUUUCUUGGAAAACUGUAAGACUGGAUUGUGAUGUUGACAUUGACAGAAGGCAAGAUCUGAAAGCUGUGUGGAACAAGAAGUCCCAGAAUUGGGGGAGCAGAAGGGCAUGACUUCAAACCAACAACUUACCAACAAGAUAAAGAAUGACAUUUUGGUUUUCAAAAAAUGUGCAGCACUUGCCAGACAAAAUCUCUGGUUUAAAAUUCUUACAGUGGAACUUUUCUCAACCAGCAGAAAAAAAAAUCAGCAUCUACAUAGGCACAGACCUCAGGACUUGCUUCCUAGUUACUUGGGCCAUCCAUAGUUUUGAGCUAAUUAACCACAGCUUUCUUCCAGAAGAAGAUAUAAGGGGAAGUUUAUUACCUAUCAACAAUGUAGUUUCCUCCUUCUGUCUCCCACAUGUUAGGCUGGCAGAAACUUCCCAGCCUCAAAUUCCUAAAGUGUAUUGUGAGCUGGUCUGUUAUAUGCUGUUUAUUAAACAAAUCCAGAUUUUUGUUUUUACCGAAACAAUUAUGAUUUUUUUAUCAAAAGAGAGACAUUGCCAGAAUUAUUGUGCUGUCUGACAACUACCUUAUCCUAAAAACCUGCCUUAAGGGCCAUGUUCACAAUUCUUCAUCUAACAGAAAUGCACCUGAGGUCAAAACCAGGUUUUGUGGUUUAGGGGUAUAUGAUGGGUAAAGCCCUGGAGGAAAGGAGAAAAUGUUUGUAUUAAUUAUAUUGAUAAUGUGCAAAAGAAAAUAUUUUUUGUAAAAAAUAAUAAAAGCUCACAAACUCUAGCAAUUAAUCAGGACUAUUUUGGAGGUGAAGUUGUAUGCAGUUAAAGCAGUUUGUUGACAAAGUAAACAGAAGUAACCUCAGGCAUUUAUUUUUAUUUCAUAGCUCCCUAACUCAGUAAAUCUAAAAAUUACAAGGCAACAAAACUCUGGAAAGAAUAUACUUGUAUUUCAAUGGACAAAGGCAUCAAUAUUAUUUUACUCUGACAAAUACUAUAAAAAUUCAAAUUAUACUUUCAUUGCUCAGCUCCAAAAAUCCAGUAGAUUGACUAUUGCACUGUUUAAGGUUUUCUGUGGGCAUCAUGACUUGAUUUAAACAUUUGAGAAUUAAGCUAUGAACUGUCAAAGGCAAAGCUAAAAAUAAAUGUUGCAUAUGUUUUGUCUCACAAGGGUGAGCAACUAAUAGAAGAACAAAAGGUUAUUGAGUAAAUAUAGAUUUUUGGAUGGAGGGAGUGGGUAUAAAGGUUCAAGAUAUUUUAGUGCUUUUAUGACAGACUGACACAAACAUUAAGAAAGUUUGACCUAUUGUGUAUCCAAACUGCAACAAAAAGUGAUUUAUGGCUUAUUUAAACUUGUGGUACUGAGGUGGAAGACAUUCAUCUCAUUCUAUGCAUGCUUAGAAUAAAUCAAAACUGAUUUGUGCAUAGGACAUUAAACUUGUUUUGUAUAAAAUUGAAGU